This 253-nucleotide ribosomal RNA is filed under the name uncultured bacterium. Its description in RNAcentral is "partial 16S ribosomal RNA". It matches the Rfam family "Bacterial small subunit ribosomal RNA", at positions 524 to 776 of the family's 1533-position model. The record is from RNAcentral.
UACGGAGGGCGCAAGCGUUGUUCGGAAUCAUUGGGCGUAAAGCGCGUGUAGGCGGCUUGGCAAGUCGGGUGUGAAAUCCCGGGGCUCAACCCCGGAACUGCAUUCGAUACUGCCUGGCUAGAGUCCCGGAGAGGAGGGCGGAAUUCCCGGUGUAGAGGUGAAAUUCGUAGAUAUCGGGAGGAACACCAGUGGCGAAGGCGGCCCUCUGGACGGUGACUGACGCUGAGAUGCGAAAGCGUGGGGAGCAAACAGG